Brassica oleracea var. oleracea is the source of this 1276-nucleotide long non-coding RNA. RefSeq lists it as uncharacterized. The transcript is spliced from 7 exons. NCBI's taxonomy places the organism in Eukaryota, Viridiplantae, Streptophyta, Magnoliopsida, Brassicales, Brassicaceae. The record is from RefSeq and is a predicted model, not a curated record.
UUGUCUGUUCACUUUGAAUUAGGGUUAGCCGUCAUCUUCUAUCUCUGCGAUGAAUGAGCUAGAGCAACAAUGGAGAUCAAAUCAAGUCAGCCGAAACGUCCCAUUAAUGAUACUCAUCUAACACCAAGGCAGUUUUCUUUACCUAUAAAAGGACUGGUGACUGCUCUUACACCGUCCAUGUGCGGUUGCUCCGAUUCUGGGAAGCUGAUUCUUGGUGAUUUGAAUAUUUUAUUAUCUCAUGCUCAUAGUAUUUUUUUUUUCCAGCAACCACCUUCGUAAGGAUGAUCUAUUUUAUAUAGAUUUAGAUCUUCAUUGAACCUAUUUUUGUUUUUUUCAAUGUUGUUUGAUAAAGAUCUCUUUCACAUUUGUUACAGUCAACCGUCAUGCCAGCCACCAUGAAUGUUCACCGGCUAGCCACUUACAGAGACCGUCUCCAGGCUGGUUCACCGGUGCAACCAGAACUUCAGGCUUUCAGACUUGCUUCUGACAGUCCGGUACAUUGAUAUAACCAAUCUAGAUGUGCUAAACGAACCAGAUUCUCACAUUCCUGAAGAACGUUUCGGUGAUCACGAUUCGCUUCUUGGCCCAGACAACACCAACACACAUCUUCUAGACGUUAUUACUGAGCUCACUGCUAUGAGAAGUACGGUGAGUGACAUUCCUCAAGUAAAAGAGCGAGUUAUGGCGACUAUGUAGAUCGACAGUCUGUUUGACUCACAAGCGAUCUCUUUUCACAAGAAACUUGAAGGUUGUUGUUGCAAGUAGCAUAAACCCAAAGAUGGUAGGAGGACGUUUGUCACACGUGUUUUUCGACAAGGAAACUGAUGCAGAAGCUAGACAUGUCUCUUUCAUUUAAAGAUCAGUCAAAACAGAACACAUUCAGAUCUCGAUUAUUAAUCUAUAGUACAUGAAGAAGUUUCAGCACGUUAAACAUGACAGACAUGAUCUUUUGAAGAGAGAAAUAGAUGUGUAUCUGCUGCAGUUGUACGGCUACUGAGAUAGGACACAAGAGGAUGAAUACAAAAUAGAGAUCUGCAGUACUUUGAUGAACUAGAAGCUAGAAAUGAUGUGUAGCCUUCUCCCAAACUGGAAACAUCAACAAACUACCUUGGUCUAAAUAUAAAAAGUCUUAACAGCAAGUAGGGUCUAAUCAUAUUUACUAAUAUAUAAGCCCAUAUGUAGAAAAAUAAUACGAGUGUACACAAUGAUUUGGUCUAUGUGUUAUUGUAUAUAGUAUUCUAGACUACGAUUCUUCUUUAAUCUUCUUCUCUGAAUA